Molecule: long non-coding RNA, 1215 nt
Organism: Chinchilla lanigera (long-tailed chinchilla)
Lineage: Eukaryota; Metazoa; Chordata; Mammalia; Rodentia; Chinchillidae
Exons: 3
Source: RefSeq, a predicted model, not a curated record
UUCACUCAUACUCCCCGUGGCAUUUGCCUUCCAUGAUGAGAAAAUAAUACAUUCAUAACAUUGUACUGAUUUUGAAAACAGCUUUAAAACUCAAGUAGAACAGCUAAGACGGUGAAGGCCUUACAAGAUGUGUUAAAUUGGGAAUAAGGGAAGAGGCCAAGGCAGUUUAAGUUGCAAAAGAGGAGACAAAAAUGAAAUGUGAAAGAGGAACUUGACUCUUUCACAUUGUCCCCCCAGGCCUUCUAGAAAUAGUCCAGUGGAGAUUAGAUUGAACUUCAGGAAUGUUGCAAACAGAAUUCUUUCCUUGGGUGACAGCGUGGAGCAGAUGAUAUCUAUGACCUGUGCAUUAGACACAGAAAAUUCUGAGUUGUGUAGUUAAAAUACAGAACAUCUUUGGGUAGAUGAGAGAAAUCUGGCAUUGAGCUUUUCCUGUGGCUUUGUCUUCAUUUCACCUGGUGGCACUGCAGCUUCCUGUUUGCUGGGAGUUUUCUGUGAGCUUCCUGCUUGGUCCCUGCUGGUUAAGGAAGUCAGGAGGCCCCCAGGGGAAGAGUGGGGCCUCAGGCAGCUGAGCAGGAGGACUCAGCAACAUGGGCCAAACAUUUUGACUGGCCAAAUGAGGAGAUAAUUUGUUUAUUGCUACUAAGCCUAUGCUAUUCCUUCCUUUUGUUAAUUUUAUAGAAGUUGGGAGUGUGAAAGUAAAAACAUUUACUUUGCGUAGGUUGUUAAAGAACUCACUGAUAAAAGCUCACAUUCGCUUAGUGAGAUCCUGAGCACAGGGCGAACAGAAUAUAAAGCAUCAUUUGGGACCUUGUGUGUUAUCCAGGAGCACAGCUGCCAUGGAGAUUUUCACUGCAUUACAGAGCUGAAGAUUCCUGGGAUCUACUCUAAAGAUGCAGAGCCUGACCAGAUGCUGUGAGGGAGUCACUGCCCGGAAUCAUACAACAAGAUGCUGCUGUGAAAGAGGAAGAGAAAAUGGCUCUCUGUGCUUCUAGAAGCCUGCUGCAGACCCAGCCGCUCAUCAGAAAGCAGAAGUGAGAAAGCUCUGACCCCCUUACCAACGUACUGUGAAUUAUUUUUAGAACCUUUGAGUGUCCUUAUUCUCUGAAAGAAAGAAAGAGUAUGGAUUUCAGACUCCAUCCUGAAUCUCCAGUGCACACAUUUUAUUGAUUGAAAAUGCCACCCUUGGAGCCAGCUGAUUAUGGACUGAAAACUCUG